CUUUUCUCCACAUUCACCAAGUGGGAGAAACGGUUGAGAGCAGAAGGCAGUUUAACUUUGACAGCCCAAUGAGAGAAUCAGCUAAGAGCUAUUCCAAGGACCAUGUUUUCCAGAACGGAUUAUAUAUUGAAUCAAUGAAGGUGUUUCUCUCCGAGCAGACAGCUCAUCUCCAAGAGCUUCACAGGAAUCUUCUCCUGGUAUUUACACAGAUGGGAGAGGCGGCUCUUCUUGCCCUCCCUGCCUGAUCAUUCGGUCUUCCUCUCCCCAGCCUCUCCUGGCGGUGCACAGCUGGGAAUGAAUGGGAGAUUUCAGCCAGCUCUCCCGGGUGAGAAAAGCCAGAGGCAGGUGAAAAGAUGGGGAUCUGGGUAG
RNAcentral lists this long non-coding RNA (369 nucleotides) under Marmota monax (woodchuck). Lineage: Eukaryota; Metazoa; Chordata; Mammalia; Rodentia; Sciuridae. The record is from RNAcentral.